GGGCUUGUACCGGUUUCGACGGGGAUCAUGAAGUUGGUGAAGCUAUCCGCAAGGCAAUGCGUUAAAUUCCAAAAAUAAAAUUAAACGCUGACGAUUCAUUCGCAGUGGCUGCCUAAAUGGCAGCUGUCGCCCUUAAGUACCUGUUCUUAAGAUAAGCGGCAUCAUUCAAACAGGAAACGAUGCAUGCUAAGCUUUGCGCAUGCAGCCGUAUCAUGAAGCUAGCAUGACCGAUCGGAUGUCUUUCUCCUGUCUGUCAUGCGAAUUAAAUACGGAAAGACUAUGAUAGUAGAAGAACAAUGAAUUGAUCUUCGGACAGGGGUUCGACUCCCCUCAGGUCCAUUC
This 342-nucleotide transfer-messenger RNA is filed under the name Eubacteriales bacterium. It matches the Rfam family "transfer-messenger RNA". From Rfam's summary of the family: Bacterial tmRNA, also known as 10Sa RNA or SsrA, is named for its dual tRNA and mRNA-like properties. Its role is to liberate the mRNA from a stalled ribosome. Lineage: Bacteria; Bacillati; Bacillota; Clostridia; Eubacteriales. The record is from RNAcentral.